RNAcentral lists this ribosomal RNA (117 nucleotides) under Numida meleagris (helmeted guineafowl). Lineage: Eukaryota; Metazoa; Chordata; Aves; Galliformes; Numididae. The record is from RNAcentral.
CCUGCAGCCAUUUCACUUUGGUGGCAACUGAGCUUGCCAGAUAUCAGAAGGUACACAGUCAGGUCUGGUUAGUAUUUGGAUGAGAGUUCUCUGGAGAGCAUUGGGUUGAUAUUAGGG